GUCGGUCUCAGAGUCGCGUGACUUCAACCCCCUCUUCGGGAGGCUGGGUCGUCAUGAUCCGGACCCCAUUGUCGGCCUCUGCCCAUCGCCUGCUCCUCCCAGGCUCCCGCGGCCGACCCCCGCGCAACAUGCAGCCCACGGGCCGCGAGGGUUCCCGCGCGCUCAGCCGGCGGUAUCUGCGGCGUCUGCUGCUCCUGCUACUGCUGCUGCUGCUGCGGCAGCCCGUAACCCGCGCGGAGACCACGCCGGGCGCCCCCAGAGCCCUCUCCACGCUGGGCUCCCCCAGCCUCUUCACCACGCCGGGUGUCCCCAGCGCCCUCACUACCCCAGGCCUCACUACGCCAGGCACCCCCAAAACCCUGGACCUUCGGGGUCGCGCGCAGGCCCUGAUGCGGAGUUUCCCGCUCGUGGACGGUUCUGGUCAGCCUCCGUCUCAUGCCAGUCCCAGGACCAGACUGCCGUGCGCCUC
RNAcentral lists this small RNA (469 nucleotides) under Pan troglodytes (chimpanzee). RNAcentral describes it as "processed transcript". The record is from RNAcentral. Lineage: Eukaryota; Metazoa; Chordata; Mammalia; Primates; Hominidae.